This is a long non-coding RNA of Pomacea canaliculata, 239 nucleotides long. RefSeq lists it as uncharacterized. The record is from RefSeq and is a predicted model, not a curated record. NCBI's taxonomy places the organism in Eukaryota, Metazoa, Mollusca, Gastropoda, Architaenioglossa, Ampullariidae. The transcript is spliced from 3 exons.
CAUGUGUGGCCUAUUUCACGUGAAUUCUAACGGUACAAAUAAACACAGAUUUUAAGGAGUAAAAUUGUAGAAGUUCUGCUCUUCUAAGCAGCCUUAUCUCCCGGAGCCAUCGAGAUUUCAGGUCUCUCUUGAUUAUAUUAACUACAACCGAAGAUCAACGGUCUUCAAAUUUCUUUACCUUCGCUUGAGGGGUUCGUCACAGUGUCACGUGACUGUAACUCCUGGUAUGCUGGGACAAA